This 253-nucleotide ribosomal RNA is filed under the name uncultured bacterium. RNAcentral describes it as "partial 16S ribosomal RNA". It matches the Rfam family "Bacterial small subunit ribosomal RNA", at positions 524 to 776 of the family's 1533-position model. The record is from RNAcentral.
GACGAAGGGGGCUAGCGUUGCUCGGAAUCACUGGGCGUAAAGCGCACGUAGGCGGACUCUUAAGUCGGUGGUGAAAUCCUGGAGCUCAACUCCAGAACUGCCUUCGAUACUGGGAGUCUCGAGUCCGGGAGAGGUGAGUGGAACUGCGAGUGUAGAGGUGAAAUUCGUAGAUAUUCGCAAGAACACCAGUGGCGAAGGCGGCUCACUGGCCCGGUACUGACGCUGAGGUGCGAAAGCGUGGUGAGCAAACAGG